CCUGCACUGUAUGUUUGGUCACUCUCAGCCAGUGAGCUAAGCCCUGCACUGUAUGGCUGAUCAUUCUCAGGCAAUCAGUUAAGCCCUGCACUGUAUCGUCUGAUUACUCUCAGCCAGUGAGCUAAGCCCUGCACUGUAUCGGCUGAUCACUCUCAGCCAGUGAGCUAAGCCCUGCGCUGUUUGACUGAUCACUCUCAGACAGUGAGCUAAGCCUUGCAAUGUAUCGGCUGAUCACUCUCAGCCAGUUAGCUAAG
This is a non-coding RNA of Pelobates cultripes (western spadefoot toad), 254 nucleotides long. NCBI's taxonomy places the organism in Eukaryota, Metazoa, Chordata, Amphibia, Anura, Pelobatidae. The record is from the annotation of a GenBank genome assembly.